AUGCCUCUGUACAGCCCAAGAGCAGAAGGCACCCAAAGGCUGCCCAAAAUGGUGGAUGUACCUGCUGCAUUUGACCUGAUGCUAACUCAUAGAAACAUUUGUGCAGACAGAGCAAAGAAAAUGGGACUUGACCAAUUGGUGGAACCCCUGGACCAGGAGUAAAAGCUCCAGAAAAAUGGACAAUUGAAUAACUCGAAGAGGUUAUAGUUACUUUUGCUAAUGGACUAGUUGAUAAGAAGCUCUCUCCUAAGAGAUACAAGGGAUUGGUGGAAAAACCAACAGCAUAUGCCAUGACUAUUCCAUUUGUUAGACCACACAUUUACAAAAUCAUGGAAAAAGAAGUGUGAAAACAGACCAAAGGCCUUUAUCUUGCCCCUCUGAAAAUAAUUGAUGUCAUAAAAACUGGACUUGAACGAAAAAGUGAUGCUGGUUAUCUUACUGAAUCACCAGAAAUUUGGAGAGUUGGCAUUGACUAAAGAAUCAAAGGCCUUGUUGGUACUUUACCAUGGCCAAGUCCUACGCCAGAAAAAUAAAUUUGGAGCCCCAUAGAAGUAUGUUAAGCAUUUAGCUAUUCUUGGUGCAGGGUUAAUGGGAGCUUCCAUCACCCAAUCUCCAUGGACAAGGGGCUAAAUACCCUUCUUAAAGAUACUACAAUAGCUGGAGUGGGCCAGAGACAGCAAUGAGUGUUCAAAGAAUUGAACGACAAAGUGAAGAAGAAAGCUAUGACAUCAUUUGAAAGGAUUCCAUCUUCAGCAACUUGAUUGGGCAGCUUGAUUACCAGGGUUUUGAAAAGGCUGAUGUGGUGAUUGAAGCUGUUUUUGAGGACCUCGGUGUUAAGCACAAAGUGCUAAAGGAAGUAGCUCACUGUGUCUUUGCCGGUAACUCCUCUGCUCUCCCAAUCAAUGAAAUUGUUGCUGUCAGCAAAAGACCUGAGAAAGUAAUUGGCAUGCACUACUUCUCUCCUGUGGUCAAGAUGCAGCUACUAGAGAUCAUCACAACCAAGAAAACAUCCAAGGAGACAACCACUUGUACUGUAGCAGCUGGUCUUAAGCAGGGGAAGUUCAUCGUUGUGAUUAAGGAUGGAUGUGGCUUAAGAUUUUAAGGAUACAAGACACCUUAUAUGUCUUAUAUCCAUGAUGAUCGAAAUCAUAUGAAUCCUCCAGGAAGGAGUUGAUCUUAAGAAGCUGGAUUCUCUGACCACAGGCUUUGGCUUUCCUAUGGGUGCUGCCACCCUGGCAGAUGAAGUUGGUGUGGUUAUAGUGAAACAUAUGGCAGAAGAUCAGGGCAAAGCCUUUGGGGAGCGGUUUGGAGGUAGAAGCCUAGAACUGCUGAAACAGAUGGUGUCCAGGACUUUCUGGGUUGCAAAUCUGGGAAGAGCUUUUACAUCCAUGAGGAGAGCUCAAAGAAUAAGAGUUUGAAUUCUGACAUGAAUAAGAAUUUUACAAGUCUGAGGCUUCCUGCAAAGCCUGAGGCCUCCUCUGAUGAAGAUAUUCAGUACCAUUGGUGACAAGAUUUGUGAAUGAGGUAGUCAUGUGCCUACAGGAAGGGAUGUUGCCAAACCUGCAGAGGGAGACAUUGGAGAAGUCUUUGGCCUAGGCUUCCUCCCUUGUCUCGGAGGGUCCUUGUGUUUCAUGGAUCUAUAUGAUGACCAGAAGUGGACCAGCUCCAGAAGCAUGAAGCUGUCUAUGGAAUACAGUUCAUCCCAUGCCAGCUGCUCACUGACCUUGCCAACAACCCCAGCAAGAAGUUCUACUAGUGA
Marmota flaviventris (yellow-bellied marmot) is the source of this 1759-nucleotide non-coding RNA. The record is from RefSeq and is a predicted model, not a curated record. NCBI's taxonomy places the organism in Eukaryota, Metazoa, Chordata, Mammalia, Rodentia, Sciuridae.